GUGUCAGCAGCCGCGGUAAUACGUAGGUGGCAAGCGUUGUCCGGAAUUAUUGGGCGUAAAGGAUGCGUAGGCGGCAAUUUAAGUGGGAUGUGAAAUACCUGGGCUCAACUCAGGAAUGGCAUUCCAUACUGGACUGCUAGAGUGCAGGAGAGGAAAGUGGAAUUCCCAGUGUAGCGGUGAAAUGCGUAGAGAUUGGGAGGAACACCAGUGGCGAAGGCGACUUUCUGGACUGUAACUGACGCUGAGGCAUGAAAGCGUGGGGAGCAAACAGGAUUAGAUACCCUGGUAGUCCACGCUGUAAACGAUGAGUACUAGGUGUAGGGUCUUCCAGGCUCUGUGCCGCAGUUAACACAUUAAGUACUCCGCCUGGGAAGUACGGUCGCAAGACUAAA
RNAcentral lists this ribosomal RNA (392 nucleotides) under uncultured bacterium. Its description in RNAcentral is "bacterial SSU rRNA". It matches the Rfam family "Bacterial small subunit ribosomal RNA", at positions 505 to 898 of the family's 1533-position model. The record is from RNAcentral.